GACGAACGCUGGCGGCGUGCCUAAUACAUGCAAGUAGAACGCUGAAGGAGGAGCUUGCUUCUCUGGAUGAGUUGCGCACGGGUGAGUAACGCGUAGGUAACCUGCCUGGUAGCGGCGGAUAACUAUUGGAAACGCUAGCUAAUACCGCAUAAUAGUAGAUGUUGCAUGACAUUUGCAUAAAAGGUGCAAUUGCAUUACUACCAGAUGGACCUGCGUUGUAUUAGCUAGUUGGUGGGGUAACGGCUCACCAAGGCGACCAUACAUCGGCGACCUGGGGGGGGGAUCGGCCACACCUGGACUGAGACACGGGCCAGACUCCUACGGGAGGCAGCAGGAGGGAAACUUCGGGAAUGGACGGAAGUCUUACCGAGGAACGGCGCGGGAGUGAAGAAGGUUUUCGGAUCGUAAAGCCCUGUUGUAAAGGAAGGAAGAGUGUGGGAGUGGAAAGUGCACACUGUGACGGUAUCUAACCAGAAAGGGACGGCUAACUACGUG
This 495-nucleotide ribosomal RNA is filed under the name uncultured bacterium. RNAcentral describes it as "partial 16S ribosomal RNA". It matches the Rfam family "Bacterial small subunit ribosomal RNA", at positions 28 to 507 of the family's 1533-position model. The record is from RNAcentral.